This 253-nucleotide ribosomal RNA is filed under the name uncultured bacterium. RNAcentral describes it as "partial 16S ribosomal RNA". It matches the Rfam family "Bacterial small subunit ribosomal RNA", at positions 524 to 776 of the family's 1533-position model. The record is from RNAcentral.
UACAGAGGUCCCAAGCGUUGUUCGGAUUCAUUGGGCGUAAAGGGUGCGUAGGUGGCGCGCUAAGUCAGGUGUGAAAUUUCGGAGCUUAACUCCGAAACUGCAUUUGAUACUGGCGUGCUUGAGGACUGGAGAGGAGACUGGAAUUUACGGUGUAGCAGUGAAAUGCGUAGAGAUCGUAAGGAAGACCAGUGGCGAAGGCGGGUCUCUGGACCGAUACUGACGCUGAGGCGCGAAAGCGUGGGGAGCAAACAGG